Long non-coding RNA from Thalassophryne amazonica, 129 nucleotides. RefSeq lists it as uncharacterized. Lineage: Eukaryota; Metazoa; Chordata; Actinopteri; Batrachoidiformes; Batrachoididae. The record is from RefSeq and is a predicted model, not a curated record. The transcript has 3 exons.
UCCUGAUUACAACCUAACAACACUGUAUGUCAAAGACUGUGCAGAGUGUACUUGUACUCUCAUAUUUGGAAAAUCCAAUGAAUAAUUUAAAGAUGUUAUGAUAGGACACAUACAAAUUGAGGAACUGUG